RNAcentral lists this ribosomal RNA (227 nucleotides) under uncultured bacterium. RNAcentral's name for it is "partial 16S ribosomal RNA". It matches the Rfam family "Bacterial small subunit ribosomal RNA", at positions 15 to 230 of the family's 1533-position model. The record is from RNAcentral.
GAUCCUGGCUCAGGAUGAACGCUAGCUACAGGCUUAACACAUGCAAGUCGAGGGGCAGCAUGGUCUUAGCUUGCUAAGGCCGAUGGCGACCGGCGCACGGGUGAGUAACACGUAUCCAACCUGCCGUCUACUCUUGGACAGCCUUCUGAAAGGGAAGAUUAAUACAAGAUGGCAUCAUGAGUUCACAUGUUCACAUGAUUAAAGGUAUUCCGGGUAAGACGAUGGGG